RNAcentral lists this ribosomal RNA (414 nucleotides) under uncultured bacterium. RNAcentral's name for it is "partial 16S ribosomal RNA". It matches the Rfam family "Bacterial small subunit ribosomal RNA", at positions 355 to 762 of the family's 1533-position model. The record is from RNAcentral.
UGGGGAAUUUUGGACAAUGGGCGAAAGCCUGAUCCAGCAAUGCCGCGUGUGUGAAGAAGGCCUUCGGGUUGUAAAGCACUUUUGUCCGGAAAGAAAUCCUUGGCUCUAAUACAGUCGGGGGAUGACGGUACCGGAAGAAUAAGCACCGGCUAACUACGUGCCAGCAGCCGCGGUAAUACGUAGGGUGCAAGCGUUAAUCGGAAUUACUGGGCGUAAAGCGUGCGCAGGCGGUUUGCUAAGACCGAUGUGAAAUCCCGGGCUCAACCUGGGAACUGCAUUGGUGACUGGCAGGCUAGAGUAUGGCAGAGGGGGGUAGAAUUCCACGUGUGAGCAGUGAAAUGCGUAGAGAUGUGGAGGAAUACCGAUGGCGAAGGCAGCCCCUGGGCCAAUACUGACGCUCAUGCACGAAAGCGU